This 508-nucleotide ribosomal RNA is filed under the name uncultured bacterium. RNAcentral's name for it is "bacterial SSU rRNA". It matches the Rfam family "Bacterial small subunit ribosomal RNA", at positions 19 to 518 of the family's 1533-position model. The record is from RNAcentral.
AUGGCUCAGGACGAACGCUGGCGGCGUGCUUAACACAUGCAAGUCGAACGGGGAUAUACCAGAGGAGAGCUUCGGCAGGAAUCGGGUAUAUUCGAGUGGCGGACGGGUGAGUAACGCGUGAGCAACCUGUCCCAGACAGGGGGAUAACACUUGGAAACAGGUGCUAAUACCGCAUAAGACCACGGGAUCACAUGGUUCUGGGGUAAAAGGAGCGAUCCGGUUUGGGGUGGGCUCGCGUCCGAUUAGAUAGUUGGUGAGGUAACGGCCCACCAAGUCGACGAUCGGUAGCCGACCUGAGAGGGUGAUCGGCCACAUUGGAACUGAGAGACGGUCCAAACUCCUACGGGAGGCAGCAGUGGGGAAUAUUGGGCAAUGGGCGAAAGCCUGAACCCCCAGCAACGCCGCGUGAGUGAAGAAGGCCUUCGGGUUGUAAAGCUCUGUUAUAGUUGACGAAGGAAGUGACGGUAGGCUGUAAGGAAGCCCCGGCUAACUACGUGCCAGCCGCUGC